GACGAACGCUGGCGGCGUGCUUAACACAUGCAGGUCGAACGGAAAGGCCCUGCUUUUGUGGGGUGCUCGAGUGGCGAACGGGUGAGUAACACGUGAGUAACCUGCCCUUGACUUUGGGAUAACUUCAGGAAACUGGGGCUAAUACCGGAUAGGAGCUCCUGCUGCAUGGUGGGGGUUGGAAAGUUUCGGCGGUUGGGGAUGGACUCGCGGCUUAUCAGCUUGUUGGUGGGGUAGUGGCUUACCAAGGCUUUGACGGGUAGCCGGCCUGAGGGGGUGACCGGCCACAUUGGGACUGAGAUACGGCCCAGACUCCUACGGGAGGCAGCAGUGGGGAAUAUUGCACAAUGGGCGGAAGCCUGAUGCAGCAACGCCGCGUGCGGGAUGACGGCCUUCGGGUUGUAAACCGCUUUCGCCUGUGACGAAGCGUGAGUGACGGUAAUGGGUAAAGAAGCACCGGCUAACUACGUG
RNAcentral lists this ribosomal RNA (468 nucleotides) under uncultured bacterium. RNAcentral's name for it is "partial 16S ribosomal RNA". It matches the Rfam family "Bacterial small subunit ribosomal RNA", at positions 28 to 507 of the family's 1533-position model. The record is from RNAcentral.